GAGGGUAUAGCUCAGUGGUAGAGUGUGUGCUUAGCUUGCACGAGGUCCUGGGUUCAAUCCCCAGUACCUCUG
RNAcentral lists this transfer RNA (72 nucleotides) under Camelus bactrianus (Bactrian camel). It matches the Rfam family "tRNA". From Rfam's summary of the family: Transfer RNA (tRNA) molecules are approximately 80 nucleotides in length. Their secondary structure includes four short double-helical elements and three loops (D, anti-codon, and T loops). The record is from Rfam by way of RNAcentral. RNAcentral also lists the same sequence under 2 other names. Lineage: Eukaryota; Metazoa; Chordata; Mammalia; Artiodactyla; Camelidae.